This 372-nucleotide ribosomal RNA is filed under the name uncultured organism. RNAcentral's name for it is "bacterial SSU rRNA". It matches the Rfam family "Bacterial small subunit ribosomal RNA", at positions 526 to 896 of the family's 1533-position model. The record is from RNAcentral.
CGUAGGGUGCAAGCGUUAAUCGGAAUUACUGGGCGUAAAGCGUGCGCAGGCGGUUAUGUAAGACAGAGGUGAAAUCCCCGGGCUCAACCUGGGAACUGCCUUUGUGACUGCAUAGCUAGAGUACGGCAGAGGGGGAUGGAAUUCCGCGUGUAGCAGUGAAAUGCGUAGAUAUGCGGAGGAACACCGAUGGCGAAGGCAAUCCCCUGGGCCUGUACUGACGCUCAUGCACGAAAGCGUGGGGAGCAAACAGGAUUAGAUACCCUGGUAGUCCACGCCCUAAACGAUGUCAACUAGGUGUUGGGAGGGUAAAACCUUUUAGUACCGGAGCUAACGCGUGAAGUUGACCGCCUGGGGAGUACGGCCGCAAGGUUA